UUUCUUUUCUUUGCUCAAUUCUUCUGCUUUAUAAGCUCUCUCUGCCAAUGUAGCAAACUCUCAAAUUUCAAGAAUUCCGAUCAGUAACUUAAUGUCUUCAUUCAACCCUUCUUCGAAUCGUUUGCACAUUUCAGCUUCUGACUGUACCCAUUCUCGAGCAUAUUUACUCAAUCGAACAAAUUCUCUUUCAUAUUCAGAUACUGAUCU
RNAcentral lists this long non-coding RNA (207 nucleotides) under Gossypium barbadense (sea-island cotton). RNAcentral's name for it is "long non-coding RNA (GBAR_LNC012670)". Lineage: Eukaryota; Viridiplantae; Streptophyta; Magnoliopsida; Malvales; Malvaceae. The record is from RNAcentral.